CCUGGAUUUAGACUGCUAUGGAACACUGUGAAGACUUUUCUAGAUCCUAAAACCACCUCCAAGAUUCACGUUCUUGGAAACAAAUAUCACAGUAAAUUGCUUGAGAUGAUUGAUGCCAGUGAGUUGCCAGAAUUUCUUGGUGGUACCUGUACCUGUGCAGAUCAGGGAGGUUGCCUUCGGUCAGAUAAGGGACCAUGGAAAAACCCAGAAAUAUUGAAGAUGGUUCUUAAUGGUGAAGCACGGCGUGCCCACCAGGUUGUAAAAGUUUUAAACAGUGAGGGGAAGGUUAUUGCAUAUGCUAAGCCACGUUACCCUGUGCUUGUCAGAGGUAGUGAUACAUCCACUGCUGAGUCAGGAUCUGAAGCUGAAGAUAUUGCUUCCCCCAAAGCACUGAAGAGUUAUUCACAUCUUCGACUGACUCCUGUUCGCGAAGAAGGUAAGGUGGUUGGAAAGGCAAGCUAUGCUGGUAAAUUCUCAGGGUAUGAUGAAUAUGUUCCUAUGGUUGACAAAGCUGUUGAUGGUGGUUGGAAAAAGCAAUCAUCCGUCCAGAGGCCUUCUGUUUCCAAAGCUACACUUGCUCUGCC
This 584-nucleotide unclassified non-coding RNA is filed under the name Hevea brasiliensis (rubber tree). Lineage: Eukaryota; Viridiplantae; Streptophyta; Magnoliopsida; Malpighiales; Euphorbiaceae. The record is from RNAcentral.